CGGAAGGCUGUGUGGGAGGGGAGGGACCCUGAGCCAGGAAGGGAGGACUGCGCAUGCGCAGGCUCUAGCCGGCGGCAGCCUUCCAGGAAGGCCUGGCACGUGUUCCAAAGAUGAGGAAAGAAGGCCAUCCCCUAGACUUGUCGGCUUGGAAUUUCAGAUCACGAAGAAAGACAGGCCUGUAAGAGCUUCAGCUGAAGAAAACACUAUUUCAUUACAAAGGAACGAGAAUCCGUCUGGCAUUAGCAACCGUGGAGGCUAGAAGACAGGGAAGCGAUGCCUUCAAAGACUAUGACCAGCCGAACUCCCAGCCAAGGGUGAAAGCAAAACAAAACAAAAAUCCAGACAGGCAGGAAUCAGAUGGUUCACCCCCAUACACGUCUUUUUAGUGGAAGUUACCUGAGACUGUACUCCAGGAAAACGAAGGCAUAUCCAAGGAAAAGAAAGACAGGCUCUGGAGACAGUGAUCUCAACGUGGGAGGACAAGAAAGAGAAGUUCUAGGAUAACAGGGAUGCGGAAGACUGGAGACGAAGCCAGGCAGCGUGGAACAGGAGAAUGGAGAUCUGGGGAGACGGGGAGCUGCACGGCCGGUGUGAUGUGGAGUCUGAAAAUGUGAAGGAGGUGAUCGAGGCAAAUGAUGCAAGAAAGCCAAAAAGCAAGUCAAUAUUUUAGUUGAUUUUCACUGUAUUUUACAAAGUAUAGUUCCAUGACAAAUUGAGGGGGACAAAAGAUCUGAUCCCUUACCGCAGGUGAUUUGAGAAGCUCUGCUCUAGCAGGAGUUGACUGUGGUUGCAAAAGCUCUGAAGAAGGAAAGAGGCGGCUGAGUUUGAGGAACUGACAGGAGGCUCAUGACUGAGAGUGGAGCUGUUUGCAGAGCUCUGAGGGCAAAAAAAAAUACAGUGACUGGGUUUUAUUCUAAGUACAGUGGGAAGCUGCUGAGGACUUUUAAACAACUUCAAGACACGUGAUAGGCUUUAGACUUUUAAAAUAAUCAUCCUAACUGCUGUAUGAAGAAUGAGUUGAAAUAAAGUAAAGAGUGUAAACG
This 1043-nucleotide long non-coding RNA is filed under the name Equus caballus (horse). Its description in RNAcentral is "lncRNA (ENSECAG00000040698.2)". The record is from RNAcentral. Lineage: Eukaryota; Metazoa; Chordata; Mammalia; Perissodactyla; Equidae.